RNAcentral lists this ribosomal RNA (465 nucleotides) under Vreelandella stevensii. Its description in RNAcentral is "partial 16S ribosomal RNA". It matches the Rfam family "Bacterial small subunit ribosomal RNA", at positions 338 to 795 of the family's 1533-position model. The record is from RNAcentral. Lineage: Bacteria; Pseudomonadati; Pseudomonadota; Gammaproteobacteria; Oceanospirillales; Halomonadaceae.
CCUACGGGGGGCAGCAGUGGGGAAUAUUGGACAAUGGGCGAAAGCCUGAUCCAGCCAUGCCGCGUGUGUGAAGAAGGCCUUCGGGUUGUAAAGCACUUUCAGUGGGGAAGAAAGCCUUGGGGCUAAUACCCUCGAGGAAGGACAUCACCCACAGAAGAAGCACCGGCUAACUCCGUGCCAGCUGCCGCGGUAAUACGGAGGGUGCGAGCGUUAAUCGGAAUUACUGGGCGUAAAGCGCGCGUAGGCGGUCUGAUAAGCCGGUUGUGAAAGCCCCGGGCUCAACCUGGGAACGGCAUCCGGAACUGUCAGGCUAGAGUGCAGGAGAGGAAGGUAGAAUUCCCGGUGUAGCGGUGAAAUGCGUAGAGAUCGGGAGGAAUACCAGUGGCGAAGGCGGCCUUCUGGACUGACACUGACGCUGAGGUGCGAAAGCGUGGGUAGCAAACAGGAUUAGAUACCCGAGUAGUC